Molecule: ribosomal RNA, 459 nt
Filed under: uncultured bacterium
Lineage: Bacteria
Description: partial 16S ribosomal RNA
Rfam family: Bacterial small subunit ribosomal RNA
Source: RNAcentral
AGCGAACGCUGGCGGCAGGCCUAACACAUGCAAGUCGAACGAACCUUUCGGGGUUAGUGGCGGACGGGUGAGUAACACGGGGGAACGUGCCUUUAGGUUCGGAAUAACGCAGGGAAACUUGUGCUAAUACCGAAUGUGACCUUCGGGGGAAAGAUUUAUCGCCUUUAGAGCGGCCCGCGUCCGAUUAGGUAGUUGGUUGAGGUAAUGGCUCACCAAGGCGACGAGCCGUAGCGGGUCUGAGAGGAUGAUCAGCCACACUGGAACUGAGACACGGUCCAGACUCCUACGGGAGGCAGCAGUGGGGAAUAUUGGACAAUGGGCGAAAGCCUGAUCAAGCCAUGCCGCGUGUGUGAAGAAGGUCUUCGGAUUGUAAAGCACUUUAAGUUGGGAGGAAGGGCAGUAAGUUAAUACCUUGCUGUUUUGACGUUACCAACAGAAUAAGCACCGGCUAACUUCGUG